CACUGCUUUUUCUCCACUGGUUACCUCUCCACUGAAGCCUUUCAAAGAGCGGUAGCUGUCACUUUAAGUCUUGUAACUUAGUCAUAAAUGCUUGUGAUGGACCUUUAGCACAUACUAAUAAAACACACCAUGGUCAAGCUGAUAAAACACACACACAUUCCAGUAUAUUUCACCAUUUAUUCAUACAUAGUAUUUUGUUAAGACAGAACAAACGUACACACGCUCUUCAUAUAACAAAGAAUAUUUGAGUUUUUGAAGGUGUAACAGGGGCUGAUGUGAAUGCUGGGCUUUGCACUCACUGCCAUGCUUGUACACACAGACACACAAAGAAACAAACCAACCUCUCAUCAGCACACCCACAACAGAGGCUGCACUCUGCUCCUGUGAUUUUUCCCUCUCAGUUCAAAGACCUGAGGAGAGACUAAAGGAGAAGACAAGAGAGUUUCAGAGAGCAUCAAUCAGCCGUCUGUGACGCAGUCGUCAUGAGGGUACUGUGUCUCUGACUACAUCUUCAUUUGGAUCCAGACUUUGUCUUCACAGUUUGAGGAUGCCACUCCCCCUU
Non-coding RNA from Labrus bergylta (ballan wrasse), 562 nucleotides. The record is from RefSeq and is a predicted model, not a curated record. Lineage: Eukaryota; Metazoa; Chordata; Actinopteri; Labriformes; Labridae.